Molecule: ribosomal RNA, 468 nt
Filed under: uncultured bacterium
Lineage: Bacteria
Description: partial 16S ribosomal RNA
Rfam family: Bacterial small subunit ribosomal RNA
Source: RNAcentral
GACGAACGCUGGCGGCGUGCUUAACACAUGCAAGUCGAACGGAAAGGCCCUGCUUUUGUGGGGUGCUCGAGUGGCGAACGGGUGAGUAACACGUGAGUAACCUGCCCUUGACUUUGGGAUGACUUCAGGAAACUGGGGCUAAUACCGGAUAGGAGCUCCUGCUGCAUGGUGGGGGUUGGAAAGUUUCGGCGGUUGGGGAUGGACUCGCGGCUUAUCAGCUUGUUGGUGGGGUAGUGGCUUACCAAGGCUUUGACGGGUAGCCGGCCUGGGAGGGUGACCGGCCACAUUGGGACUGAGAUACGGCCCAGACUCCUACGGGAGGCAGCAGUGGGGAAUAUUGCACGAUGGGCGGAGGCCUGAUGCAGCAACGCCGCGUGCGGGAUGACGGCCUUCGGGUUGUAAACCGCUUUCGCCUGUGACGAAGCGUGAGUGACGGUAAUGGGUAAAGAAGCACCGGCUAACUACGUG